GACGUAGGGGGCCAGCGUUGCUCGGAAUUACUGGGUGUAAAGGGUUCGUAGGCGGUGUGGCAAGUCGGGAGUGAAAUCUCUGGGCUCAACCCAGAGGCUGCUUCCGAAACUGCUGUGCUUGAGUGUGGGAGAGGCAAGGGGAAUUCCACGUGUAGCGGUGAAAUGCGUAGAUAUGUGGAGGAAUACCAGUGGCGAAGGCGGCGCGCUGGACCACUACUGACGCUGAGGAACGAAAGCUAGGGGAGCAAACAGG
RNAcentral lists this ribosomal RNA (253 nucleotides) under uncultured bacterium. RNAcentral's name for it is "partial 16S ribosomal RNA". It matches the Rfam family "Bacterial small subunit ribosomal RNA", at positions 524 to 776 of the family's 1533-position model. The record is from RNAcentral.